UAAGUAGGGCGGGACACGUGAAAUCCUGUCUGAAGAUCGGGGGACCACCCUCGAAGGCUAAGUACUCCUUGCUGACCGAUAGCGAACCAGUACCGUGAGGGAAAGGUGAAAAGCACCCCGACGAGGGGAGUGAAACAGUACCUGAAACCGAACGCCUACAAUCAGUCGGAGCCCCCUUGCGGGGUGACGGCGUACCUUUUGUAUAAUGGGUCAUCGACUUGGU
Molecule: ribosomal RNA, 223 nt
Filed under: Paraphysomonas imperforata
Lineage: Eukaryota; Chrysophyceae; Chromulinales; Paraphysomonadaceae
Description: partial Bacterial large subunit ribosomal RNA
Rfam family: Bacterial large subunit ribosomal RNA
Source: RNAcentral